AGUGAACGCUGGCGGUAGGCCUAACACAUGCAAGUCGAACGGCAGCACAGUAAGAGCUUGCUCUUACGGGUGGCGAGUGGCGGACGGGUGAGGAAUACAUCGGAAUCUACUUUUUCGUGGGGGAUAACGUAGGGAAACUUACGCUAAUACCGCAUACGACCUACGGGUGAAAGCAGGGGAUCUUCGGACCUUGCGCGAUUGAAUGAGCCGAUGUCGGAUUAGCUAGUUGGCGGGGUAAAGGCCCACCAAGGCGACGAUCCGUAGCUGGUCUGAGAGGAUGAUCAGCAACACGGCAAAGAGGACACGGCCCAACCCCCGGGGGGAGACACGGGGGGGAAAAUUUGGACAGGGGGCAGAAGCGUAUACCAGCCAACCGGGGGGGGGAAAAAAGCCCCUGGGGGUGUAAAUCCUUUUGGUUGGAAAAAAAAAACACCAGUUUAACCCCCCCGUUUUUGACGGGACCCAAAGAAAAAACCCCCGCUAAAUUCGUU
RNAcentral lists this ribosomal RNA (491 nucleotides) under uncultured bacterium. RNAcentral's name for it is "partial 16S ribosomal RNA". It matches the Rfam family "Bacterial small subunit ribosomal RNA", at positions 29 to 507 of the family's 1533-position model. The record is from RNAcentral.